UUCAUCCUCCCAUUUCGUUUCCUCUCUCCUUCAGCCGCCGAAACCUCUGUCUGCGCCAAACCUCUCUCUCAGCCAUCCUCUCUCUCACCCAAACCUCUCUCUCAGCCUUCCUCUCUCUCAGCCAUCCUCUUUAUCCUUCAGCCGUCGCGCCGCCGAAGCUCUCUCUCAGCCAUCCUCCUCUCUCUCAGGCAAACCUCACUCUCAGCCAAACCUCUCUCUCAACCACACCUCUCUCAGCCGCUGCUCCUCUCAGUCGCCACCUUUCAUAGUCGUCGUCGUCAUACAGCUUCCUCUGUCCUCCAACAAUUUGCAGAUCCAGCACCAGCAGUUCGCAGAUCCAGCAAUCCACCUCUUCAUCUUAUCCUCUCUCUCUCUCUCUCUCUCUCUCUCUCUCUCAGGUAUGUCACUGUGAUGCGCCAAAAAACCUCCAAAUGCCAACUGCUUGUAUUUUAUCAAAUUGAUUAGCACUUCUUGGUGAUAUGAAAAGUAUUUUAUAUGCCUAUCUUGAUAUUAUGCUGUCAAAAGAAGAAAUGAAUUGAAAUAAGGCAGAUUGAAACUAUAUCAAAUUGAAGUUCCAGUAUAUCAAAUAUAUAUCAAAUUGGAUUGGGUUGUGGUUGUCUGAAUAUGUGCAUGUGGUUGUCUCAAUCUGUGAAGAAAAAACAAACAUAAAUCUGGAUCCAAUAGAGAACAUGAUGGGUAUUCUGGGUAUUCUGAGAACAUGUUAGAGACAUGAGAAGCAGUGUAUGUUGUUAUCAAAAUGGGCAAGCAGGUAACUCAUUUGGCUGUCUUUGAUCAUGAAAAUGGUCUAGUUUUCUGAUAAUUUUCUUUUGCUGUUGCAUUUCUUGAUCCAUUUUCACUUCUGGGUUUCCGGAGUUAUGUUUUUAUUUUCCACAAAUUUAGAUUAUUGAUGGCAAUACAUGGAUCUGGUAGGUUCACUUUGUGUUCGGAGAUGCAGCAACAAAAGAGCAAAAGAAUGGAGUUGUAAUUUUAAAUUUGAUUGUAAUUUAUUUUGUUUUAUUAUGUAUUUUUUUGUUGGGUUGUAAUUUUAAAUUGAAUAUUGGAUUGUUUUAUUAUUUUUGACAAAGAAUAGUGGUUGUUUCAA
Molecule: long non-coding RNA, 1102 nt
Organism: Prunus dulcis (almond)
Lineage: Eukaryota; Viridiplantae; Streptophyta; Magnoliopsida; Rosales; Rosaceae
Exons: 2
Source: RefSeq, a predicted model, not a curated record